Long non-coding RNA from Zootermopsis nevadensis, 1832 nucleotides. RefSeq lists it as uncharacterized. The record is from RefSeq and is a predicted model, not a curated record. Lineage: Eukaryota; Metazoa; Arthropoda; Insecta; Blattodea; Termopsidae.
AGCGUCGACGGAAGGAUUGGAAACAUCUAUCUUGGGAUUCAUACGAACAGGCCAUACGACCUAAACCCCAAAAAAGUUCAUGGUCAUUCUUAAGAUCGGCACUAGGUGGGGGCGUGUGGUUAGCGUCACGCCCAGACUCCGAUAAUGAACUGGGAGAAAUACAACUUAUAUAACUAAUCCCAUGGCACAAGGUCAUGCGAGGCUUCGGGUCUCCAUACACUGCGUUCCAGUUGACUCGCUCUUGCUAAAUCAUAAACCCAUACUGUUAGAUUCAUAAAAGCCGUAAUAAAUCGUAUUGUACUCGGCAAACAACGUAGUAUGUAGGUGACGUCACAGCUGUAAGAAAUUGAUACCGAUUCUACAUAAGUGAAUUCGUAUUUGACUACGGACGAUCUGAAAUACUAUACAGACCUAAAACCUGAGGUGUAGGCUUCCACCGCGGCCGUACGAUACGCUGUAGUGGUCGCUGGUACCUGCCAAAAAAUUAGACUCUUGAUAUUCUUCGUUACAGUUUUCUAAAACUGCUCUUUAAAACGACGAGUUUUGGUCCAUAUAUUAGCAGUCUUACCCGUGUCUGGAAACCUGUUGAAAAAGAAUGCAGUGUAUGGGGACCCUCAGGUAAAACAACUUGUUAUGUACACCAUCUUUUUGAGCAGUAGAUGUUGAUCAAGAAAUAUCUUUUUCUUUCAGGUGUGAAACUUGUUUCUUGGAUUAAAGUUGUUUGAGAACAGAGAGGAGGAGGAGAAUAUAUGGAUCUAAGAGGGAAGAAGUGACAGGGGGUUGGAAGAAAGUACCUAAUGAGCAGCAUCAUUUUUGAACAUCACUAAACACUAUUAUGAGAGUCAAAUCAAAGAAGGAUGAGACUGGUGGAGCAUGUAGCACAUAUGGGAGAGAUAAAUGCAUACAAAGUUUUGGUCAGAAAACCUGAUAAAAAGAAACAAUUUGUAAGUCCUACAUGUUUUAUGCUAUUUUCAUGACUGUUAUGUUUGUGCCAAUUAAUUACUUACAAAUAUUACUUUCAUGUUUCUGGAAGUUACUGGUUGACUACGGCCUGAAAUAAUGUCAGUAUUUGAAAGCUGCAUAAUGAAUACAUAUAACUUUACUUGCAUAUUAUAUGAUCUUUUUCUCACAUAAAAUUAGCAUUAUUGAAUUAGGUUUGAUUUUCCAUUCAAUGUAGAACAGACCUAAUGCCAAAUGUACAUAAGGAUACCAUAUACAGUAUAUCACCUUCAUGACAAGAAGAUGAAGACUGAAAGAUAACAAUUUAAACAUCAAUGAAUGAGUGCUAGAUAAUGAAUCUUCUAAAUGUUAAUGCUGAAACAACCACUGUAUUAGCAACACAGCAUGUGUUUCAUACCAUGCUGUAACAAUAUAUUACUACACAACACAAUUGGAUGACUUCUGCUUUAGUAAACUCAUUUGAAAUAUCCUCCCAUUAACCUUCAUUAAAAUUCUUGUACCUUUUCAAGAAUGUGGACUUCUGGGUUAUGACAUCAUGUCAACUUGUAGGUGGUCAACAAUGUUUCUGAGCAAAUUUUCACCAUAAUUUUCAGGGUAGAAGAUAGCCACUUCGUCCAUUAAGAUGGAAGUGACGUUAUUCCAAAACAUUAGUAACCACCUAUGUGACUACACCACAUCAUAAACUCAGAAGACCACAAUCCAAAUUUUCACUACUGUGAAGCCACAAUACUUCUGUUCACAAUGACAGAAACAAUUUUGCUUUCACAACAUAGUUCUAGUAGUUAUUCUCAAUAUGGGAAAAUGUUAAUGUGUGAUAUAUGAUGUCAUCUGGGAAGGACAUUUAAUAAAACAUAGGAACAUUUAUGCAGUCA